GAAGGCGAGCUCGAUGACUGGGGCGAAGUCGUAACAAGGUAGCCGUAGGGGAACCUGCGGCUGGAUCACCUCCUUU
This 76-nucleotide ribosomal RNA is filed under the name Longimicrobium terrae. RNAcentral describes it as "Bacterial small subunit ribosomal RNA". It matches the Rfam family "Bacterial small subunit ribosomal RNA", at positions 1458 to 1533 of the family's 1533-position model. Lineage: Bacteria; Pseudomonadati; Gemmatimonadota; Longimicrobiia; Longimicrobiales; Longimicrobiaceae. The record is from Rfam by way of RNAcentral.